AUUGUCAACAUGGGUUGUUGCUGGUCCUCAACAUGGACAUGUGCACACUCUGUUCACACAUCCACUUACACCUGUGCACCCUCUGUAGUUCUGUGGCCUGGGAGACUCUGUCCCCUUGCUGUGGCUCUACACAUUUACACAUAUACACUGUGAUAAAGUCUUAUGGAAUGUAUGCCGCGUUUAACGCAAUACAAUACAACUUUCAGCAACGGAUCUCUUGGCUCUCGCAUCGAUGAAGAACGCAGCGAAAUGCGAUAAGUAAUGUGAAUUGCAGAAUUCAGUGAAUCAUCGAAUCUUUGAACGCACCUUGCGCCCUUUGGCUAUUCCUGAGGGCAUGCCUGUUUGAGUAUCAUGAACACCUCAACUCUCACAGUCUGCUGUGAUGAGCUUGGACUUUGGGGGUUUUGCUGGCCUAUGGUCGGCUCCUCUAAAACAAAUCAGCUUGCCAGUUUUUGGUGGCAUCACAGGUGUGAUAACUAUCUGCGCUUGUGAAGUUUCACCAGGGUGGCCUUCAGCGAUGGAGGUCUGGCUGGGGCUCAUAAAUGUCUCUCCUCAGCAGAGAUGGUUUUGUGAAUGUUUGAUCUCAAAUCAGGUAGGACUACCCGCUGAACUUAAGCAUAUCAAUAAGCGGAGGAAAAGAAACUAACAAGGAUUCCCCUAGUAACUGCGAGUGAAGCGGGAAGAGCUCAAAUUUAAAAUCUGGCACCUCUGGUGUCCGAGUUGUAGUCUGGAGAAGCGUUUUCCGCGCUGG
RNAcentral lists this ribosomal RNA (751 nucleotides) under uncultured fungus. RNAcentral's name for it is "eukaryotic LSU rRNA". The stretch from base 198 to 352 matches the Rfam family "5.8S ribosomal RNA". Lineage: Eukaryota; Fungi. The record is from RNAcentral.